UACCGGUAAACUAACGCAACAGCUUCGGCCUGAGAACAACCUGUGACAGAGGAGAAAAACAACAACAUGACGGCUGUUCAAGACGACAAACUUCAGUGUGGCUAGAAGGGAUACAGCUACGGCCGGAAGUUACGCAAAAUCUCGGAAACACGAGCAGAGCCUGAACCCAGCUGACUGUGGGUGGAUGAAGUCAUUUUUCGCAGACGGUAUUUGGCCCUGUUUGGAUCACCUCAAGUGGCUUUCCUGCGGAGCAAGCUGAGAGACACACACGGCCCCCUCCCCAACGACAAAAGGAUGAGGAUGCACAUUUUAAGAUAUCAUUAUAAAAAGUCAGAGAGCAGAACUCACACAGACGCUGGAGAUUUAAAGAAAUACACAUUUUGGGAAAUAACACUUUUCACUUUGGUUCUGGGUGUGCAAUGAGAAUAAAUGAAUCUCAUGUCUGUGUGUUGAAAGGAUAGCCGUUAUCUCUGCUCGCUUCAAAGCCACCUUUGAGAAAAACGGUCAUUUUACCUCGCAGAACACGGGAGUUGCUGCUCUACCACUGCCUCCAUCAGUUAGUUAGUUGGUUAGUUUUGUUAGUUCCUAACACUUUAAAACAACAAAGUCACACGACCCUCGCUCCUCUGGUUGUAAAAAAGACAUUUAAAACUUAAAAUUAAAAUAAAUAUAAAUAAAUAUUAAAUUAAAAUAUACCAGAGUGCAAUCCCUAAAAUAAGAUUAACCUUCUGCCUCGACUCCUGAACCUGAACAUGAAGAAGGAUGAACUAUGAAGACUAAAACUAGAAGGCCUCAUCUAUGAUUGUCUUAGGUCAAUACAUAUCGGAGCUAAAGGGAUGUAGAGUCAAGGGAAAACACCAAACACUGUUGAUGUUAUAAAGGGUUGAUUUGGAUUCCCCAAAGUUACACAGUUACACAAACUAACUAACCACCAAUGUUAGCUUACCGGAUGAUAGCAUGCAGCUAAAGACACAGGUUAAUGUAAGCUUACU
This is a long non-coding RNA of Perca fluviatilis (European perch), 992 nucleotides long. RefSeq lists it as uncharacterized. Lineage: Eukaryota; Metazoa; Chordata; Actinopteri; Perciformes; Percidae. The record is from RefSeq and is a predicted model, not a curated record. The transcript has 3 exons.